GACGAACCGUGCGAACGUUGUUCGGAAUCACUGGGCUUAAAGGGCGCGUAGGCGGGCUGACAAGUCUGGGGUGAAAUGCCGCGGCUCAACCGUGGAACUGCCUUAGAUACUGUCGGCCUCGAGGAAGGUAGGGGCAUGCGGAACUGUAGGUGGAGCGGUGAAAUGCGUUGAUAUCUACAGGAACUCCGGUGGCGAAAGCGGCGUGCUGGACCUUUUCUGGCGCUGAGGCGCGAAAGCUAGGGGAGCAAACGGG
This 253-nucleotide ribosomal RNA is filed under the name uncultured bacterium. Its description in RNAcentral is "partial 16S ribosomal RNA". It matches the Rfam family "Bacterial small subunit ribosomal RNA", at positions 524 to 776 of the family's 1533-position model. The record is from RNAcentral.